UACAGAGGGGGCCAGCGUUAAUCGGAAUCACUGGGCGUAAAGCGCGCGUAGGCGGUCUGUUAAGUGGGAUGUGAAAUCCCCGGGCUUAACCUGGGAAUUGCAUUCCAAACUGGCGGACUAGAGUGCGGUAGAGGGAGGUAGAAUUUCCUGUGUAGCGGUGAAAUGCGUAGAUAUAGGAAGGAAUACCAGUGGCGAAGGCGGCCUCCUGGAUCGACACUGACGCGGAGGCGCGAAAGCGUGGGGAGCAAACAGG
RNAcentral lists this ribosomal RNA (253 nucleotides) under uncultured bacterium. Its description in RNAcentral is "partial 16S ribosomal RNA". It matches the Rfam family "Bacterial small subunit ribosomal RNA", at positions 524 to 776 of the family's 1533-position model. The record is from RNAcentral.